Molecule: ribosomal RNA, 761 nt
Filed under: Hypogymnia metaphysodes
Lineage: Eukaryota; Fungi; Ascomycota; Lecanoromycetes; Lecanorales; Parmeliaceae
Description: mitochondrial SSU rRNA
Rfam family: Bacterial small subunit ribosomal RNA
Source: RNAcentral
AGGAUCGACUAUGUCGAAUAAAAUUCUAGGUAGAAUUUUGAUAAUGACAUUGUCUGCCUAUGUGUCUUGACCAAAUUACGUGCCNGCAGUCGCGGUAAUACGUAGAAGACUAGUGUUAUUCAUGUUUAAUCGGUUUAAAGGGUACCUAGACGGUAAAUCAAGCCUAAAAUUAAAUGAAGGGACUAAUUUACUAGAGUUACUUAUGAGGGGGUAUUAAAGUACUGCUGGUGUAGAGAUGAAAUUCUGUCAUACCUCUUUUCUAUAGAAAAAUAAUGGCACAGGUAUAGGCGAAAGCAUCCCCUUAUGUGAUAACUGACGUUGAGGGACGAAGGCUUUGUGUAGCGAACAGGAUUAGAUACCCCAGUAGUCAAAGCAGAAAAUGAUGAAUGUCAUAGAUUAGAUAAAUAAGUUUAUUCUAUAAAUGAAAGUGUAAGCAUUCCACCUCAAGAGUAAUUUGGCAACAUUGGAACUGAAAUCAUUAGACCGUUUCUGAAACCAGUAGUGAAGUAUGUUGUUUAAUUUGAUGAUCCGCAAAAAACCUUACCACAAUUUGAAUAUUUAUAUCUUUUAUUGUUUUUUUUAUUUUUCUUCUCUUCUGAUUUGAUUUUUCUAAAGAAAAAGAGGCGAUAUGAUAUAUUUACAAGCGUUGCACGGCUGUCUUCAGUUAAUGUCGCGAGACUUUGGUUAGUUCCAUUAAAUUAACGUAAACCCUUACUUUAUUUUUAUAUAGAGUAGUUCCCCGCUAUAUUGGAUAUGAUAAC